This is a long non-coding RNA of Rhipicephalus microplus (southern cattle tick), 431 nucleotides long. Lineage: Eukaryota; Metazoa; Arthropoda; Arachnida; Ixodida; Ixodidae. The record is from RefSeq and is a predicted model, not a curated record.
ACUUGAAGGAUCCACUCAAGAGUCUCAGAUAACAUAGGCAGGUACUAUAGGAAGAUACCUCGGUGAAAUUAAGACGCCAUGAUAAAGACGGGGACGCUCCUUGUAUUUCUUCUGGCUUUCGCCUACGGACAUAUAUUUACAUAUCAUCCAAGGUGCCCCGAGGCGGAGGAACAAAAGUGCAUAGCGAAAAAUAACUAUUUAGGCUGCCUCAGUAAAGGUUCUCAUGAAAUCGUCAGGGUGUGCCUUAGCUGGUCUACAAAAUGCAAGGAGUAUUUUCUAAGAUACGGCAGCAACGUUACGAGCACCUUGUUCUGCUACCAGAAAGGUCCUCUGUGCAGCUGCCUAUGCUGUCGGCACUCAGGAAAAGGCAAUGCUAUAGCUUGUAAAGGAAGAGCCGGAAUCCAAUAACUUUUUUGUCAUGGCUUCAGUGU